UACGUAGGGUGCAAGCGUUGUCCGGAAUUCUUGGGCGUAAAGAGCUCGUAGGCGGUUUGUCGCGUCGAAUGUGAAAUCCCGGGGCUCAACCCCGGGCCUGCAUUCGAUACGGGCAGACUAGAGUUCGGUAGGGGAGUCUGGAAUUCCUGGUGUAGCGGUGAAAUGCGCAGAUAUCAGGAGGAACACCGGUGGCGAAGGCGGGACUCUGGGCCGAUACUGACGCUGAGGAGCGAAAGCGUGGGGAGCAAACAGG
RNAcentral lists this ribosomal RNA (253 nucleotides) under uncultured bacterium. RNAcentral describes it as "partial 16S ribosomal RNA". It matches the Rfam family "Bacterial small subunit ribosomal RNA", at positions 524 to 776 of the family's 1533-position model. The record is from RNAcentral.